GCGAGCGGCGGAUGGGUGAGUAACACGUNGGGAACCUGCCCCUAAGUCUGGGAUACCAUUUGGAAACAGGUGCUAAUACCGGAUAAUAAAGCAGAUCGCAUGAUCAGCUUUUGAAAGGCGGCGUAAGCUGUCGCUAAGGGAUGGCCCCGCGGUGCAUUAGCUAGUUGGUAAGGUAACGGCUUACCAAGGCGACGAUGCAUAGCCGAGUUGAGAGACUGAUCGGCCACAUUGGGACUGAGACACGGCCCAAACUCCUACGGGAGGCAGCAGUAGGGAAUCUUCCACAAUGGACGCAAGUCUGAUGGAGCAACGCCGCGUGAGUGAAGAAGGUUUUCGGAUCGUAAAGCUCUGUUGUUGGUGAAGAAGGAUAGAGGUAGUAACUGGCCUUUAUUUGACGGUAAUCAACCAGAAAGUCACGGCUAACUACGUGCCAGCAGCCGCGGUAAUACGUAGGUGGCAAGCGUUGUCCGGAUUUAUUGGGCGUAAAGCGAGCGCAGGCGGAAAAAUAAGUCUAAUGUGAAAGCCCUCGGCUUAACCGAGGAACUGCAUCGGAAACUGUUUUUCUUGAGUGCAGAAGAGGAGAGUGGAACUCCAUGUGUAGCGGUGGAAUGCGUAGAUAUAUGGAAAGAACACCAGUGGCGAAGGC
RNAcentral lists this ribosomal RNA (646 nucleotides) under uncultured bacterium. RNAcentral describes it as "bacterial SSU rRNA". It matches the Rfam family "Bacterial small subunit ribosomal RNA", at positions 91 to 722 of the family's 1533-position model. The record is from RNAcentral.